UGCAUGUCUAAGUAUACGCAAUCUAUACCGUGAAACUGCGAAUGGCUCAUUAAAUCAGUUAUCGUUUAUUUGAUAGUACCUUGCUACUUGGAUAACCGUGGUAAUUCUAGAGCUAAUACAUGCUAAAAACCCCGACUUCGGAAGGGGUGUAUUUAUUAGAUAAAAAACCAAUGCCCUUCGGGGCUCCUUGGUGAUUCAUAAUAACUUAACGAAUCGCAUGGCCUUGUGCCGGCGAUGGUUCAUUCAAAUUUCUGCCCUAUCAACUUUCGAUGGUAUGGUCUUGGCUUACCAUGGUUUCAACGGGUAACGGGGAAUUAGGGUUCUAUUCCGGAGAGGGAGCCUGAGAAACGGCUACCACAUCCAAGGAAGGCAGCAGGCGCGCAAAUUACCCAAUCCCGACACGGGGAGGUAGUGACAAUAAAUACUGAUACAGGGCUCUUUUGGGUCUUGUAAUUGGAAUGAGUACAAUUUAAAUCCCUUAACGAGGAACAAUUGGAGGGCAAGUCUGGUGCCAGCGAGCCGCGGUGAUUUCCAGCUCCAAUAGCGUAUAUUAAAGUUGUUGCAGUUAAAAAGCUCGUAGUUGAACCUUGGGCCUGGUUGGCCGGUCCGCCUCACCGCGUGCACUGGUCCGACCGGGUCUUUCCUUCUGAGGAGCCGCAUGCCCUUCACUGGGUGUGUCGGGGAAUCAGGACUUUUACUUUGAAAAAAUUAGAGUGUUCAAAGCAGGCCUAUGCUCGAAUACAUUAGCAUGGAAUAAUAGAAUAGGACGUGUGGUUCUAUUUUGUUGGUUUCUAGGACCGCCGUAAUGAUUAAUAGGGAUAGUCGGGGGCAUCAGUAUUCAAUGUCAGAGGUGAAAUUCUUGGAUUUAUUGAAGACUAACUACUGCGAAAGCAUUUGCCAAGGAUGUUUUCAUUAAUCAGUGAACGAAAGUUAGGGGAUCGAAGACGAUCAGAUACCGUCGUAGUCUUAACCA
Molecule: ribosomal RNA, 973 nt
Filed under: Mollisia sp. 205
Lineage: Eukaryota; Fungi; Ascomycota; Leotiomycetes; Helotiales; Mollisiaceae
Description: SSU rRNA
Rfam family: Eukaryotic small subunit ribosomal RNA
Source: RNAcentral